RNAcentral lists this ribosomal RNA (459 nucleotides) under uncultured bacterium. RNAcentral's name for it is "partial 16S ribosomal RNA". It matches the Rfam family "Bacterial small subunit ribosomal RNA", at positions 338 to 795 of the family's 1533-position model. The record is from RNAcentral.
CCUACGGGUGGCAGCAGUGAGGAAUAUUGGUCAAUGGGCGCGAGCCUGAACCAGCCAAGUAGCGUGAAGGAUGACUGCCCUACGGGUUGUAAACUUCUUUUAUAAAGGAAUAAAGUGAGGCACGUGUGCCUUUUUGUAUGUACUUUAUGAAUAAGGAUCGGCUAACUCCGUGCCAGCAGCCGCGGUAAUACGGGGGAUCCGAGCGUUAUCCGGAUUUAUUGGGUUUAAAGGGUGCGUAGGCGGAUUUUUAAGUCAGCGGUAAAAUGUUCGGGCUCAAGCCGGGCCUGCAGUUGAAACUGUGUAUCUUGAGGGGGGGAGAGGUAUGCGGAAGGCGUGGUGUAGCGGUGAAAUGCAUAGAUAUAACGAAGAACUCCGAUUGCGAAGGCAGCAUACCGGAGCCCGACUGACGCUGAGGCACGAAAGCGUGGGGAUCGAACAGGAUUAGAUACCCUGGUAGUC